ACAUCCAGAGAACUUAGCAGAGAUGCUUGGUGCCUUCGGGAACUCUGAGACAGGUGCUGCAUGGCUGUCGUCAGCUCGUGUUGUGAAAUGUUGGGUUAAGUCCCGCAACGAGCGCAACCCUUAUCCUUUGUUGCCAGCGAUUCGGUCGGGAACUCAAAGGAGACUGCCGGUGAUAAACCGGAGGAAGGUGGGGAUGACGUCAAGUCAUCAUGGCCCUUACGGCCAGGGCUACACACGUGCUACAAUGGCGCAUACAAAGAGAAGCGACCUCGCGAGAGCAAGCGGACCUCAUAAAGUGCGUCGUAGUCCGGAUUGGAGUCUGCAACUCGACUCCAUGAAGUCGGAAUCGCUAGUAAUCGUAGAUCAGAAUGCUACGGUGAAUACGUUCCCGGGCCUUGUACACACCGCCCGUCACACCAUGGGAGUGGGUUGCAAAAGAAGUAGGUAGCUUAACCUUCGGGAGGGCGCUUACCACUUUGUGAUUCAUGACUGGGGUGAAGUCGUAACAAGGUAAGCGUACGUGU
RNAcentral lists this ribosomal RNA (524 nucleotides) under uncultured bacterium. Its description in RNAcentral is "bacterial SSU rRNA". It matches the Rfam family "Bacterial small subunit ribosomal RNA", at positions 984 to 1509 of the family's 1533-position model. The record is from RNAcentral.